CGGGAUGUGGCGCAGUUGGUAGCGCGCCUGCUUUGGGAGCAGGGUGUCGCAGGUUCGAGUCCUGCCAUCCCGACCA
Molecule: transfer RNA, 76 nt
Filed under: Siphoviridae sp. ctZHD14
Lineage: Duplodnaviria; Heunggongvirae; Uroviricota; Caudoviricetes
Description: tRNA-Pro
Rfam family: tRNA
About the family: Transfer RNA (tRNA) molecules are approximately 80 nucleotides in length. Their secondary structure includes four short double-helical elements and three loops (D, anti-codon, and T loops).
Source: RNAcentral